UUUCCGUAGGUGAACCUGCGGAAGGAUCAUUACUGAGUGAGGGCCCCUCGGGGUCCAACCUCCCACCCGUGUUUAACGAACCUUGUUGCUUCGGCGGGCCCGCCUCACGGCCGCCGGGGGGCAUUUGCCCCCGGGCCCGCGCCCGCCGAAGCCACCUGUGAACGCUGUCUGAAGUAUGCAGUCUGAGACAAUUAUUAAAUUAAUUAAAACUUUCAACAACGGAUCUCUUGGUUCCGGCAUCGAGAAGAACGCAGC
Molecule: unclassified non-coding RNA, 255 nt
Filed under: plant metagenome
Description: partial contains small subunit ribosomal RNA, internal transcribed spacer 1, and 5.8S ribosomal RNA
Source: RNAcentral